Drosophila melanogaster (fruit fly) is the source of this 505-nucleotide non-coding RNA. Lineage: Eukaryota; Metazoa; Arthropoda; Insecta; Diptera; Drosophilidae. The record is from Ensembl.
UUGAGUCCGAGAGGUUCGGGAACAGGAGCAGCUUUCGAUCGCGCCUUAGGGUCAGUCAGACCAAUCCAGCCAUCAAAAACUCAUCUUUGGAUACAAUUAUUCUGGAUACAGCCUGCAUCCGCACACCCAAAUGGCAGAUACGUAGAGAUUUAACCCUUCUGUAUCGGCCUUGCAGUUGCUAGCUGAAGAUAACAAAAAAACGUAUGGACUCGGCUACCACAUCCCACAUCAACACCCAAUUGUUGACUAUGAACACCCGGAUCCGUCCAAGAACUAAGAGCUAAGGCUCCAUCGGGGCUAGCACCUGGCCAGAACACCUAUUGGUACUCAUCACGGAACAUUGAAUCGUUGGAAGGCCGCACAACACCGCACAUCAGCCAUCCACCACCCAUCCAUCCAUCACCCACCAAACGUCGUUUCGGCCCUUUGGACAAAAUUUACAUUUGAGUUUAAGUUUAGGUGUAAACAAUAAACAAAAAACAACAAUAGGCUACCAAAAAAAGAG